CAGCCCGAGUGGUGAUCACUAUUAUUGGGUCUAAAGGGUCCGUAGCCGGUUUAAUCAGUCUUCUGGGAAAUCUAAUCGCUUAACUAUUAGGCUUCCAGGGGAUACUGUUAGACUUUGGGACCGGGAGAGGUAAGAGGUACUGCAGGGGUAGGAGUGAAAUCUUGUAAUCCCUGUGAGACCACCAGUGGCGAAGGCGUCUUACCAGAACGGGUCCGACGGUGAGGGACGAAAGCUGGGGGCACGAACCGGAUUAGAUACCCGGGUAGUCCCAGCUGCAAACGAUGCUCGUUAGGUGUCAGGAACGGUGUGACUGUUUCUGGUGCCGAAGGGAAGCCGUGAAACGAGCCACCUGGGAAGUACGGCCGCAAGGCUGAAACUUAAAGGAAUUGGCGGGGGAGCACUACAACGGGUGGAGCCUGCGGUUUAACUGGACUCAACGCCGGAAAACUCACCGGGGGCGACAGCAAUAUGUAGGUCAGGUUAAAGGUCUUACCUGAAUCGCUGAGAGGAGGUGCAUGGCCGUCGUCAGUUCGUACUGUGAAGCAUCCUGUUAAGUCAGGCAACGAGCAAGACCCGUGCCCACUGUUACCAGCAUAUCCUUUAUGGAUGAUGGGGACUCUGUGGGGACCGCUGCUGCUAAAGCAGAGGAAGGUGCGGGCUACGGUAGGUCAGUAUGCCCCGAAUCUCCCGGGCUACACGCGGGCUACAAUGGUUGGGACAAUGGGUAUCUACUCCGAAAGGAGUUGGCAAUCUCUUAAACCCAAUCGUAGUUCGAAUUGAGGGCUGUAACUCGCCCUCAUGAAGCUGGAAUCCGUAGUAAUCGCGUUUCAACAUAGCGCGGU
This 842-nucleotide ribosomal RNA is filed under the name uncultured archaeon. Its description in RNAcentral is "bacterial SSU rRNA". It matches the Rfam family "Archaeal small subunit ribosomal RNA", at positions 480 to 1319 of the family's 1478-position model. The record is from RNAcentral.